AAAAAAUGUCUGGCAUAUAUGAAUUGGAAGUUUCUUCAGUUUUUUUGGAGCAAUAUGAAUUGAAAGAUAAAAACUUAAAGAUCAAGAACUGGGUUAAUAAUUUUGGCACACCCUUGUGCAGAACUAUGAACGAAUCAGUGGAACAAAGGCUUCUGAGAUCAGAAGAACAAGACUCUGCUAAUUUGACAAGCAGGAUUUGGACUGAGUCUAAGAAGAUAUGGAGGGUUGCCUUCCCUGGAAUGGUGGCUAGAGUGACUUCUUUCGGAAUCAUAGUAGUGACUCAGUUAUUUCUUGGUCACAUCGGCGAGUUGCAGCUAGCUGCUUAUGCAAUUGAACAAACCUUCUUCGUGCGAUUUGUUAUGGGGAUACUGAUUGGCAUGUCAAGCGCAACUGAAACAUUAUGCGGACAAGCAUUUGGAGCUGCACAAUACCACAUGUUGGGAAUAUAUUUGCAGCGAUCAUGGAUCGUUGAUCAUACUCUUACGACGAUAUUGCUCCCUCUCUUCAUCUUCGCCACACCAAUUUUGAAACUAAUUGGUCAGGAGGAGGAUAUAGCAACAGCAGCUGGAAAAAUCUCUCUAUGGUUCAUUCCUUUCCUCUACUACUUUGUGUUUGGCUUGACAAUGCAAAUGUACUUGCAAUCCCAGAUGAAGAACCGUAUUAUUGGAUGGUUUUCUGCUAUUUCCUUCGUGAUUCAUGUGUUUUUGAGCUGGUUUUUUGUGAUCAAACUUGACUGGGGGAUCAAUGGAGCAAUGGGUGCGUUGAACAUUUCUGCUUGGUUAAUUGUCAUUGGAGAAUUUGCGUACAUUUUCGGAGGGUGGUGCCCUAACACUUGGAAAGGGUUUACCACGGCUGCCUUUUCCGAUCUCCUUCCCGUCGUCAAGCUCUCAAUUUCCUCCGGUUUCAUGCUUUGCUUAGAACUUUGGUACAAUUCUAUUCUAGUACUUGUGGCUGGAUAUAUGAAAAACGCAGCCGUUGCAAUAUCAGCUUUCUCCAUUUGCCUUAAUGUCAGUGCGUGGCAAUUUAUGAUCUGCCUUGCAUUCUUAGCAGCUGCAAGCGUGCGUGUAUCGAAUGAAUUGGGGAGGGGAGAUGCGAAGGCUGCAAAAUUUGCCAUUAAAGUCGUUCUUUUCACUUCAAUAUGUAUUGGAGUGGUAUUCUGGAUUUUGGCGUUAAUCUUCGGUCGAGAAAUUUCAUAUAUUUUCACAGAGAGUGAGGAAGUUGCAGAUACUGUUUCAGACCUCUCCGUUCCACUUUCAUUCACAUUGUUAUUCAACAGCAUUCAGCCAGUACUCUCCGGAAUAACUGUAGGUUCCGGUCAACAAAGUAUUGUUGCAUAUAUUAACUUGGGAAGCUAUUAUGGCGUUGGGAUACCCUUAGGAGUUGUGCUUGGAUACGUCGCUCAUCUUCAAGUCAAGGGUUUGUGGAUUGGAAUGCUGUGUGGAGUACUAACGCAGACAAUUAUCUUAUCUUGCCUCAUAUGGAAGACUAAUUGGGAUGAGCAGGUAAAGAAGGCAUCACAACGUCUCAACCAUUUAUUUUUGAAUCCAUCAAAAUCUGAAGGUAGUUCAUCUAAUUCUUAAUAUAAAAUUUAUUUGAAGGAACAUUGUUUAAAAUAUGUGUUGGAAAGAAUAUGAACUUUCCUUAAACAACUAUUUUUAUCUUUGUUUUUUUGAGAACAACAACUAUUUUUAUCGUAUAUGCCCUCG
RNAcentral lists this unclassified non-coding RNA (1706 nucleotides) under Hevea brasiliensis (rubber tree). Lineage: Eukaryota; Viridiplantae; Streptophyta; Magnoliopsida; Malpighiales; Euphorbiaceae. The record is from RNAcentral.